This 196-nucleotide ribosomal RNA is filed under the name uncultured bacterium. Its description in RNAcentral is "partial 16S ribosomal RNA". It matches the Rfam family "Bacterial small subunit ribosomal RNA", at positions 9 to 185 of the family's 1533-position model. The record is from RNAcentral.
GAGUUUGAUCCUGGCUCAGGACGAACGCUGGCGGCGUGCCUAAUACAUGCAAGUCGAGCGAGCAGAACCAGCAGAUUUACUUCGGUAAUGACGCUGGGGACGCGAGCGGCGGAUGGGUGAGUAACACGUGGGGAACCUGCCCCAUAGUCUGGGAUACCACUUGGAAACAGGUGCUAAUACCGGAUAAGAAAGCAGA